Molecule: long non-coding RNA, 3416 nt
Organism: Cercocebus atys (sooty mangabey)
Lineage: Eukaryota; Metazoa; Chordata; Mammalia; Primates; Cercopithecidae
Exons: 10
Source: RefSeq, a predicted model, not a curated record
ACCUCCAGGUGUUUAUAAGCAAGCUGAAUUCCAAUGAGUCUCGGGGCAACUUGGCUUCCAACGAGAUGGCUGGAAGAUGGCUCCGUCUCUGGGCACAGAUGUCCCAGAAACAAAAGCUCAGGACCAGGGGCUGGAGCGAUGCCCUCCUCCUGCCCCUCCAUCUAAGACAGGCUUCCGAGAGGAGGGAUUCGCCCUCUGCAGGCACUGGGCUGCUUACGUAAGCCGGGUCAGCUUCGUACCCAAAAGGCGGCGAGGCUGGUGCCCUUCUGGAUUUGUGCCCGUGUCCUGCCACUCCGCGUGCUGUGUCUGUUUCCAUAGGGAGGAGGAGCUGAUGGGUUUCAACCUUGCCUCCUCCCUGCUGUUUCCUCAGUGGCUGUCCAAGUAGGGUUCCCUGACAGGAGCCACAACCGCAGCCUCACCUGGGGAUUUGUGGAAAAUGCAAAAUUUAGGGGUCCUACUCCAGACUUACUGAAUCAGAGCUAGAGGCAGGUUCUAAGGAACCCCUGCAGGUGAGGCUGAUGCGGCUAUGGGGUGAGAACUGCUGUGUAAGGACAGAUGGUGCCCAGGCCGUGGAAGUGGCAGCUUGUGAUUUUAAUACCAAAGAAAUCCCAGAGCUCAGAGAGAGGCAGAGGUGAGUCCCUUUGUGUUUCACGCCUGGCAUUUGAGUUGUGCUGAAGGAGGAGAAGCCAAUCCAUCACUGGGGAUUGAAGUUAGCUUCUGUGGUGACAUUCACGGAGUCUUGUCUGUCUGGAUUUUAACAGACUAAUGGCCAGGAAGAAAUCACUGUGUACUGAGCAGAAGCUAGUUUACGUCCUGAGAAGUAGAAAGAUACAGAAAGGUGUUGGCUUAAGAGUAAGCAACACCCCCACCUUCUUCAACCCGCUAAACUUCUCAGUCUCGUUCCUCAGACAACUUUGUGCUGGUGUAUCACAGGGGAAUACUCUCGGACAUAGAAUCACUGGGUUGAAGAAUUAAACUUUGAUUCAACAUUCAUCAAAGUUAUGAGAGCAACAAAUGCACAAUAUUACCCAUGAUUAAAAGAGAACAGUAAAAGCGUUCAUCACGUGGCUGGCUGAGGCUUGAGCUUGAUGGAGAAGUGAGGUUUCUAAAGAGCUCUGCCCCACGGACAUCUCAUCUCGAGCUGCCCUGACUGCUCCUCCCUGAGCUGGGAGGUGCCAUCAGCUGUCAGACCUGGCCUCAGGGCAACAGGCAACGAAGGCACAGAGCCUGGCCGCAGCCUGAGCAGUGGCAGCUCUCCAGGAGCCUGAGGUCUGAAUCUGCCUGGUACAGCAUCCUGGAGGGCACGUGCAGACACAGAAGUACUGUGUGCCCUGUGAAACAGUGGGCCAGGCGAAUAAUAUUGCACUGUAUGGAUAGACCACACUGCGUUCACCCAUCCACCUGCUGACAGCCGUCGGGCUGUUUCGACCUUUGUGCUGCUCUCUUCCCCAAGCUUCCAGAUGGGACCUGAGUUUCGGGGAUGUGGUUCGCCCAAGGAUGGACACCAGAGGGUGGCUGAGCCUGGCAGAGCUUGACUGUUCCUCUGGUGGUUCAAAUCGCAGUGGAGGAGAUGUCAGCCCCCUGAAAGGAUGCACAUCUCAGCAGUCAGGGAUCUUGAGGUCCAGGAGGUGCUGCUGAGGGAAGGAAGGUUCUGCAUUCAGACCCUCAGAACGCAAAUGAACCCGCCUAACCACUUGGCAGAAGUUGGCUGGUUCCAAGGUCCAUCAUUAUCUCAUCUUCCUCUCAGCAACUUGACCAGGACUGUAGGACAGAUCUCUACGUAUGUGUAGAGGCUCACAUAUGUGACUUCAUUGGCUGACAGGCACAAAGCAAGGUGUCUAUACCACAAAGCAAGGUGUCUCUACCCAACUUCUGUGCUCCUUUAUGGCAUAAAUGGCAUGAUCAAACGGUUAUCCACCAUAGUAUCUGCAAUGCAGCUCUGACACUAACCACCUGGAGUUGGUGCAGAUGACGGGUUGGGGGCUCCGUCCCCCACAGGAAGACCCUCACUUUAGAUAUCUGCUGCAAGUUCUGGCCCCCCCUGGAUACAUGCACCUCUGACCAACUGGCUGCAAAUUCAGGGGUUUCCCUGACCUCCUGGCAUUCAGUAAUUCACAGUGAUGAACGACACAACUCAGGAAAGUGCUGUACUUAGGAUUGCGGUGUCAUUACCAAGGAUACAAUCAGAACCAGCUACUGGGAGAGGCACGGAGGGGGAGGUCUGGGAAAGUCCCAGAUUCAGAACUUCCAUGUCCCCAGACCGUGCAAAGCCUCCCAGGUGACUGAUGUGUGAUUACAAACCGGGGACAGUCAUGCAAGCUUCCAAUGCUCAGAGGUUUUACUGGGGUUUCAUGAUGUAGGCGUGACUGAUAGGACUUGAUCUCCGGUCCCUUUCCCCUCCAGGAGGUGACGGAGCAGGGCCUCAGCCUGCUGUUCACAUGGUCAGUCUUUCUGGCAUGGGCUGUCCUGACCCUGAGUCCCCUCGUUAGCAAAGACUUUGAGGGCUCGCUGUGAAUAACGAAGACUUGCCAAGGAUUUGGAGGCGACUUCCCAGGAACAAAGGCUGGUCCAAUUCUGUAUUAUACAACAAUUUGCUGGUGCUAUCCAAUGACGUGCUCUCACCAGCCCUUGCCAUGGGAUGCCGACUCCAUGCCUCUUACAAAGGAUUCUCCCUGACCCAGCUGAUGGAAGCUGCGUCCUAAGUGCUUUGCAGAGACGACAGCAGAAACCGUCCAGAAAGGCCCCUUCAAUGGCCAAGUGAGUGCUUUGUUCUGAAGGAAGUUAGAGCCCAAGUUCAUACGACUAUCAUGAAAUCUUCGAAACAUUUCAUUUUUUAAGUCCUGAGAUUCCCCUGAGCCCUCCCUGUCCAAGUUGUGUGAUGCUGUCUUUCAGAAGGAAAGGAGCCAGGACAGAAAGCUCGAACCUUGUUCCCCUUAGAUGAAUGAGUCUUGUUUCGAGGGGAACUCCUCUCCACGGUGGGAUUUUCAGCUCAGCUCAGCAUCCCUCAUGCACCAGGCAAUGCGGGUUCAGUAGGGAAGCAGGCUUGAGCCCCACCGUGGAAGGCUUGCAGCCUCGGGUGCAGAGGGGUGAGGCUGGAUCUCAGAUACGGAGCAAGGAUUUCAGUUUGGGCUGGGAAGAGGUAUGCCUGGAGGGCCCUGGGAACACAGAGCAGGUGCCCCUGGCUCAGACCAGGAGGGUUAGGGUCAUCUUGGUGUCUUUAAGGGAUCAGUGGAGGUGACUAGAUGAUUGUGGGUAAGGGGACGGCAUGAAUGAGGCAGAGAGGAGCCAAACAGCAACCCCAGGCUGUUUGAAAAUGUGGAAGUUUUGAGUGGGGCUUGAGGGAGUGUAUCAGAAGAUAGCUGGCCAGGUGUGGUGAGUCACGCCUGUAAUCCCAGCACUUUGGGAGGCCAAGAUGG